Triplophysa dalaica is the source of this 286-nucleotide long non-coding RNA. RefSeq lists it as uncharacterized. Lineage: Eukaryota; Metazoa; Chordata; Actinopteri; Cypriniformes; Nemacheilidae. The record is from RefSeq and is a predicted model, not a curated record. The transcript has 3 exons.
AGGUUUCCGCUGUCGACUCCCUCGGAUGGCUUUGUUGAUAAAGAGCUGAUGAUAUGAAUAGGAUCUGCACAGGAAUAACAAGGGGGCCUGUGAGCCCGGGGGCCGCCACCGCCGACCUUCCACUGUAAACCUCAAUCAAGCAGACAUGGCUUCACUUGGACAGGAUCGCGAGAAACUUCACUUUUCCAGAAGCUACAGGAGUCCAAGCACCUCUGGAAGACCUCCUCUGCCUAACAAACGACAAAAACACUUUGGAUCAGGUUGUGGAGUUCGUGGAGUCUCUGCC